Molecule: ribosomal RNA, 253 nt
Filed under: uncultured bacterium
Lineage: Bacteria
Description: partial 16S ribosomal RNA
Rfam family: Bacterial small subunit ribosomal RNA
Source: RNAcentral
UACGGAGGUGGCAAGCGUUGUCCGGAUUUACUGGGCGUAAAGAGCGUGUAGGCGGCCCGAUAAGUCCGCUGUGAAAGUCCAGGGCUCAACCCUGGGAUGCCGGUGGAUACUGUCGGGCUCGAGUCCGGAAGAGGAGUGUGGAAUUCCUGGUGUAGCGGUGAAAUGCGUAGAUAUCGUUUGGAACGCCAAUGGUGAAAACAGACAGCUGGGAGUGUGCUGACGCUGAGACACGAAAGCCAGGGGAGCGAACGGG